UGGCUGUCGUCAGCUCGUGUCGUGAGAUGUUGGGUUAAGUCCCGCAACGAGCGCAACCCCUAUCUUCAGUUACCAUCAGUUCGGCUGGGGACUCUGGAGAGACUGCCGGUGAUAAGCCGGAGGAAGGCGGGGAUGACGUCAAGUCCUCAUGGCCUUUAUGAGCUGGGCUACACACGUGCUACAAUGGCGGUGACAAAAGGAUGCGAAAGGGUGACCUGGAGCCAAUCCCAAAAAGCCGUCUCAGUUCGGAUUGUUCUCUGCAACUCGAGAACAUGAAGUUGGAAUCGCUAGUAAUCGUAGAUCAGCA
This 307-nucleotide ribosomal RNA is filed under the name uncultured bacterium. RNAcentral describes it as "bacterial SSU rRNA". It matches the Rfam family "Bacterial small subunit ribosomal RNA", at positions 1046 to 1354 of the family's 1533-position model. The record is from RNAcentral.